Molecule: ribosomal RNA, 451 nt
Filed under: uncultured bacterium
Lineage: Bacteria
Description: bacterial SSU rRNA
Rfam family: Bacterial small subunit ribosomal RNA
Source: RNAcentral
ACUCCUACGGGAGGCAGCAGUGGGGAAUAUUGCACAAUGGGCGCAAGCCUGAUCUAGCCAUGCCGCGUGAGUGAUGAAGGUCUUUAGGAUCGUAAAAGCUCUUUCGCUGGGGAAGAUAAUGACGGUACCCAGUAAAGAAACCCCGGCUAACUCCGUGCCAGCAGCCGCGGUAAUACGGAGGGGGUUUAGCGUUGUUCGGAAUUACUGGGCGUAAAGCGCGCGUAGGCGGACUGGAAAGUUGGGGUGAAAUCCCGGGGCUCAACCUCGGAACUGCCCUCCAAAACUAUCAGUCUAGAGUUCGAGAGAGGUGAGUGGAAUUCCGAGUGUAGAGGUGAAAUUCGUAGAUAUUCGGAGGAACACCAGUGGCGAAGGCGGCUCACUGGCUCGAUACUGACGCUGAGGUGCGAAAGUGUGGGGAGCAAACAGGAUUAGAUACCCUGGUAGGCUCUGC